GACAUUUGGUAGAGACCGUUGAAGCCAUCUGGUCCCAGCAGACCCCAGAAGGCUACCAUGUUCACUGGUGCUGUGGCAUGGUCGUUGAGGGUGAAGCCUGGUGCCAGAUGUGU
Molecule: ribosomal RNA, 113 nt
Organism: Panthera pardus (leopard)
Lineage: Eukaryota; Metazoa; Chordata; Mammalia; Carnivora; Felidae
Source: Ensembl